AUCACUUCUCAGCCUUUUGGCUAAGAUCAAAUGUAGUAUCUGUUCUUACCAGUUUAACAGUAUUACUUUUGUCAUAAAAUUGCAGAGAGCAGUAGUGGAUUUAGCCAAAACCAAA
Molecule: non-coding RNA, 115 nt
Organism: Myotis lucifugus (little brown bat)
Lineage: Eukaryota; Metazoa; Chordata; Mammalia; Chiroptera; Vespertilionidae
Source: Rfam